This is a non-coding RNA of Malus domestica (apple), 1039 nucleotides long. The record is from RefSeq and is a predicted model, not a curated record. Lineage: Eukaryota; Viridiplantae; Streptophyta; Magnoliopsida; Rosales; Rosaceae.
AUUGCAAUAAACUGUCAAAGAUAAAUAUUACAACGUGCCAAAGUUAAAGCUAGCUACCCCAAUAAAUGAUUGGACAAGUACUUGUACUGCUAUAGUAGUUGCUAACUAAACAAUCCCAGAAGGAAAAAGCUGUCUUAAUUAAGCUUAAAUCUCCUAUUAGAAAGAACGCUCACUAGAACAACAUGAAAAAAGCUGCUAUAAACAUAAUCAAUUAAUGCAAUAAACCCUAACCCUAAAUUAUUACCUGCAACUUGGUGUUUUGUGUAGAUAUAUACACACACACACACACACACACAGAGUACUUAAAAGAAUACUUCUCUGCAGUUAAGUAUUGGUAAAAAUUCCAAGUCAUGCAUGUUCUAUGGGUGAGAAUGAAAGUCCUACAAGUCCCUACUGGACUCCUUUUAUUUAUAUAUAAGGCAGACCAAGAUACACAAAAACUUCGUCAUCUAGAAAAACACAGAAUCAUUUACUUUCCGUACGUGUAUAUGCAUAUAUUAUACACACACACACACACACACAGAUCUUGCAAACUCCUCCAGUUCCUUCGAUCUUCAAAGGGAAAGCUCAGAAUCUUUGUAUAUAAGAAAGCUAUUGUUGCGAGCGCUGCCUCCAUGCAUAUUAGUAGUACGAUCAGAAAUAUAAAGGGUGGGAGGCCCAGCGGUUGCCCUAAGCGGCCAAAACAGUAUGGUUCACGUCCGCUUCAAGCAAAGCAAAAGUUUUGUCGUCUUCUUCAGAAUGAAAGCUAGGUAACUAGGGUUGGCAUGUGAGAAACUGACUGGGGUUUACCUAUAAAUGGAAGGUUUUUAUUGCUCCAAAUAAUUUUUUGGUUCGAGUUCACCAAACUGCAUUCCUUUCAAUGUAUCACAAGUCAAGUCCACCACCACAUCUCUAGUUUAAGGUAUUUUUCUUGGAGUAUAUGAUUCUCUCCCCUUCUAAUUCUCUCCCCUCCCCCCCUUUCUCUUCCCUCAUACUUGUAGGUUUACGAUUAAGCUAUGUCAACAUCUUGUGUUGAAUUUUUUAUAGAGAGAAAAAGACA